UACGUAGGGUGCGAGCGUUGUCCGGAUUUAUUGGGCGUAAAGAGCUUGUAGGCGGCUCGUCGCGUCGGGUGUGAAAACUUGCGGCUUAACCGCAAGCCUGCACCCGAUACGGGCGGGCUAGAGUUCGGUAGGGGAGAAUGGAAUUCCCGGUGUAGCGGUGAAAUGCGCAGAUAUCGGGAGGAACACCGGUGGCGAAGGCGGUUCUCUGGGCCUUACCUGACGCUGAGGAGCGAAAGCGUGGGGAGCGAACAGG
This 253-nucleotide ribosomal RNA is filed under the name uncultured bacterium. RNAcentral describes it as "partial 16S ribosomal RNA". It matches the Rfam family "Bacterial small subunit ribosomal RNA", at positions 524 to 776 of the family's 1533-position model. The record is from RNAcentral.